UUUUUUGAGAGUUUGAUCCUGGCUCAGGAUGAACGCUGGCUGUGUGCCUAAUACAUGCAUGUCGAGCGGAGUAUUAAUUUAUUAGUGCUUAGCGGCAAAUGGGUGAGUAACACGUAUUUAACCUACCUCAAAGACUGGGAUAACAACAGGAAACUGUUGCUAAUACCGGAUAUGUAUUUAGAUCGCAUGAUUUAGAUAUCAAAGGAGCGUUUGCUUCACUUUGAAAUGGGAGUGCGUUACAUUAGCUAGUUGGUAGGGUAAUGGCCUACCAAGGCGAUGAUGUAUAGCUGAGUUGAGAGACUGAACAGCCACACUGGGACUGAGAUACGGCCCAGACUCCUACGGGAGGCAGCAGUAGGGAAUUUUCCACAAUGGACGAAAGUCUGAUGGAGUGACACAGCGUGCAGGAUGAAGGUCUUCGGAUUGUAAACUGCUGUUAUAAGGGAAGAAAAGCUUAGGGAGGAAAUGCCCUAAGUAUGACGGUACCUUGUCAGAAAGCACCGGCUAACUAUGUGCCAGCAGCUGCGGUAAUACAUAGGGUGCAAGCGUUAUCCGAAAUUAUUGGGUGUAAAGAGUUCGUAGGUUGUUUGUUAAGUCAGAAGUUAAAUCCCGGGGCUCAACCCUGGCCCGCUUUUGAUACUAGCAAACUAGAGUUAUAAAGAGGUUAGUGGAAUUCCUAGUGAAGCGGUGAAAUGUGUAGAUAUUAGGAAGAACAUCAAUGGC
This 723-nucleotide ribosomal RNA is filed under the name Klebsiella pneumoniae. Its description in RNAcentral is "bacterial SSU rRNA". It matches the Rfam family "Bacterial small subunit ribosomal RNA", at positions 1 to 716 of the family's 1533-position model. The record is from RNAcentral. Lineage: Bacteria; Pseudomonadati; Pseudomonadota; Gammaproteobacteria; Enterobacterales; Enterobacteriaceae.